GACGAACGCUGGCGGCGUGCUUAACACAUGCAAGUCGAACGGGAUUUAGUAAACAGAAACCUCGGUGGAAGAUUACUAAUGAGAGUGGCGACCUGGUGAGUAACGCGUGAGCACCCUGCCUAUGACAGUGGGAUAGCCUCGUGAAACCGGGAUUAAUACCGCAUAAAAUCGUAGAAACACAUGUUUUACCGGUCAAAGAUUUAUCGGUCAUAGAUGGGCUCGCGUCUGAUUAGCUCGUUGGUGAGAUAAAAGCCCACCAAGGCGACGAUCCGUAGCCGGGCGGAGAGGAGGAAAAGGCACAAUGGGAAUGGGGCACGGACCAAAAUCCCAAGGGAAGGAGGAGGGGGGAAAAUUGGACAAUGGGGGAAAGCCUGAUCAAGCAAUGCCGCGGGAGAGAAGAAGGCCUUUGGGUUGUAAAGGUCUUUUCCAAGGGAAGAUAAUGACAGUACCGGGAGAAGAAGCUCCGGCUAACUCCGUG
RNAcentral lists this ribosomal RNA (478 nucleotides) under uncultured bacterium. RNAcentral describes it as "partial 16S ribosomal RNA". It matches the Rfam family "Bacterial small subunit ribosomal RNA", at positions 28 to 507 of the family's 1533-position model. The record is from RNAcentral.